AACACUGGUAUUAAUUUAGAAAUGUGUAUUAAUUGGAGGUUUUUAAAUCGCCCAUAAUUUGCAGCACGGAGCAUGCGCGGAAAGCGACCAAUCAAAUUUGAGUACCGACUAUUAGGGUCUCUCUCUCUCGUGUUGACAUCGUUUUUUUCGUUUACAAUUCAAGUGCAGACUCCACCCCUGCACGUUCUUGGGUCCUGAAUGAUAACCGAUCGUUGACUGGUGAUAUGGAGGAAAUUCAGUUUUCCAUACGAUAAAUGACAUUCAAAUUCCGUACACGUAUUCUAACAUAAAUUUGAAUUUCGCGGAAACCGUGAGUCAUGCCGGUUACUUAAGAGGAAUUCUUUUAUAUUGAACCGAAGAUAAGUAGUGAAUUUUUCAUUAAUUAUUAUUUAAACAUUCACGUGAAGUAAUCUUUUUUCAGAGACAUAAUAACUGCAUUCACUUUUAUAAAUCUUUCAUGGAUUCGAAAAGUGCUGAUUGCAGUUUUCGACGUUAUCGCCGUAUCUACGGUAGAAUGCUGGCGACUUCCGUUGGAAACCGACGGUUUUUCAAGGGAAUUUUCCAACCGUUACAGAAAUUAAUGCACGCACAAGUUAAUUUAGGAAAGGGAAAUUGUUCCUCCUCCUUGGAUCUACUACUGCUAAUACACUGCAUGAUUCAUAUUUCAAGUAACGAUUAGCAACAGGUUGCAACGUUUCUCAAGUGUAAUUAGAUAAGAUGCAAAAUGCAGCAAAAGUAUAAGAGAUACACGAUACUAGUCGUAGUUGAUAAAUUUAAGUAAUUAUGUAUAAAAAUGAGGUACGAGUAAUUAUAUAAUCUUGGUUGCUAUGGAUACUAUGAGUUACGCUAAGUGUUCUCUCAUCGAACCAGGCGCCAUUGUUAACCUAACUUCGGUUAAUAUAACAAAUUUUAUAAUUCUAUUCGAAAGUAGAAUAUCCGGUUGAAUAACAGACACACACGUAAUUAAAAUCUAUAAAAAAUGAGACGGCGUACAUUUGGGAAUUGCAUCCAUGUUGGAAGAAGAGACAGGUUAUAAUGUAAAUUCGCGUGACCGACAUCCGCUGGCAGUAAGGAGUGCCUGCAGAGUAUGUGUGUCUAGCAUUCCCCUUUUAUCUAGGACCACCGCGUCCGUUGAACCGUUGGUAUCUUUUGACUUCUGUCAGUGACAAUUGCAUUUAAAAAAGAAAAGCGCGAAUUUCUGCGCGACAUAUCCGUCCGAGUUUUCACGAAGUAUGGAGAUGGAAAGCAGCUAUUAAUAAAGUCUCCGUUUCCGACUACUGCGUUCGAAGUCCAAAAUACUCGUCACAACUGUUUACGCGAAUGUCUAACGCAUCUUUCGAUCACUGUGUAAAGUAAAUGCUUCGAUUUCAAUUCAUAUUUACACGAUAUGAACGACUUUGAUACGAUGGAACACUUUGAAUAUGUUUAUACAGUUGACCCUCGAAUAACGCGGGAGGCACAGACACCACAUGUAAAUCUGUGUGUAAUUUUUGACUCUCUAAAACUUAGGUAGAUUGUUGACUAGAAGUUUCAUUUUGUAUACUAUGUAUCUGUGUUACUUUAUUCUUACUGUAAGUUAGAGGUAAGGAAAUGUUAUUAAGAUACUUAUAAGGAAGAGAAAAUACGUACACGCAUAUGUAUCAAUAUAUACAUAUAUUAUUCACACAUACAUAUUGUUAUACAUUAUAAUACAUUAUAAUAAUUAUUAUUUAAACAUACAUUUAUUUAUUAAGUAGAUUAUUUAGUUUGUUAUAAAGUCGCGAUAUAUUACAUGGACUAAUUACAAAAGAGUUUCCGACCAAAACUUUUGGUUGGAAAAAAUCCGCGUUGUUCAAGGGUCAACUGUAUUACGAAAGAGAAAGAAAUUUAAAAAAAUGUAAAUACGUGUGAGAUUUACACGCAUAGGAAAGGAAUGAACGAGAAGAAUGUCACCACGAAAAGACUGGUGUUUUGAAAUAUUCUUCAAGGUUCCUCAUUGAUUCAAAAUACGUACUAUUUUAAAUUGCACGUUUUAACAAACUGAUUAUUAAACAAAUAAUUAGUAUUGUUAUUUGAGAAAUAAGUGCUUGUUACUAGGUAUAAUCGGAAUAUAAGUGCACACCAAUGUACCUGUCUGCUGAGGUUAGCUAGAAAUGCGUAGGAUUAACAGAAAUGUAAGCAUGUGUUCUAUCUCUCGACUCGUCUUGUCUCAUUUUACCUUAAAAGAACGAGACAACUACUAAACGAUCGACACCGAGUAUUUUACGUUACAAUUAAAGCGGCGUACGCACGUUUAUUAUCCCAAUAAUGUAAGUCCGUCUCGAUACUAUGGUGUACGUAACAAUGAACUAUUCCUAUAAAUUUAUAAAAUCCGAUGUGCGUCCGCUAUUCGUUCCCUCAUAGAGAAAAUAGUGACUCGAAUACAGGAUGUCACCUUCACGAAGAUGAAAUUAUCAGACAAGCAUGUAACACGAUAAUUCGCUAACUUGAAAGAAAUAAUCUUUAUGUAGGUUAGUAAGCAAAAGGUUAGUUUCCGAAUGAAAAGCAGGAAAUGAAUGUACACGUAUCGUACGAAAAAAAAGACGAGAAAUAUUGGAACAAGCAGUAUUUCGAUUAGCGGUUACGAAAAACAAUUUGUUGGAACAAUUAUAACACUUGUAGAUUGUCUUUAAUUAUUAAACAUUUCAGUGACUUGAA
This 2676-nucleotide long non-coding RNA is filed under the name Megachile rotundata (alfalfa leafcutting bee). RNAcentral's name for it is "uncharacterized LOC105662042". The record is from RNAcentral. Lineage: Eukaryota; Metazoa; Arthropoda; Insecta; Hymenoptera; Megachilidae.